RNAcentral lists this long non-coding RNA (1122 nucleotides) under Chrysemys picta bellii (western painted turtle). RNAcentral's name for it is "lncRNA (ENSCPBG00000001980.1)". The record is from RNAcentral. Lineage: Eukaryota; Metazoa; Chordata; Testudines; Emydidae.
CACCUUUGUCAGGGGAUUGGAAGCGAUUUACCCUUUGGAACUAAUACAGUGAUUUCUUCUUCCUGAUGGGUCUAGAAAUGCGGCUCUGUGUUUGUGAAUGAGAGCUGUAUUUAGAGGCAUGUGAGGUCCCGCCCUACUGUGCCCACAAUUACAUUUUUCUUCCUGGUCCUUUGGAGGCCAGAUCCUCAGGUGGCAGAAAUCAGUGGCGCUCAUUUGACUUCAGCGGAGCUGCGCCUGUUUAUACCAAUGGCAAAUCUGGGCCAAAGUUUGGAGACACUCCUCUCUUUGUUGGCUGAGUCCUGUUCAGCUGGGUGGGAAGAUGACUGUUUAGUGUCACCCACAAGUUUUGUAACGUUUUCCCAAUAUUCCUUGGCAGGGGCACUUGCACGACAGAUAUGGGCAGCUUGUGAAUAUUUAUACCAAACUUCUACUCACCAAGAUAUCCUUUCACCUAAAGCAUCCUGACUUUCCCCCAGGCCUAGAAGUGACGGAUGAGGUGCUAGAAAAGGCUGCUGGGACAGAUGUGAAUAACAUGUAAGUUUCCUUUUAGGUAUUUAAAACCUUCUACAAAGCAUAAUGACUCUCUUUGUCCUGAGCACCAUUCAUGUAAAUGGUGCAUCCUGUCAAUGAAAUACUCCACAUUAAAGUUCAAAGUGCUCUGUGUUGGAGACACAGGCCAGCUUAUUUUAUUAGACUGAUAAAGCCAUAAAAUGCAUCAUAAAUCUGAGUGAGGCAAACAGCGUCUUUGCACAGAAGGACCUUUGCAGAGUGCUGCAUGAGCUGUGAGCGAGACUGUUGUUUAUCAUUUAUAAGUGGCAAGAUGGUGCUAGUGUAAAGGUAAGCGCAUGCUGAUGAUAUUCCUCCUGCAGGGAACUUCAGCCUGAAUCCACAUCAGCCAACCCUUCCAGCCAUGGGCCAAAGUGCAAAUAAGCAAAGGCCUGAUUUUCAGAGGACCUGAGUACCUGCAACACUCAUUGGAGUCCUGGGUGUUCGGCACCUCUGAAAAGUGGGCCCCAAAGUUCUGUCAUCUUAAGCAGCGCAUCAGGAAACAGUCAGAUCUGUUAGAUUCUUUCCAAAGGGAAAGUUUCAGAGUAGCAGCCGUGUUAGUCUGUAUCCGCAAAA